GUGAGGUCCCUCUCCACACUGCACCUGCCACCCUGGGGCUCCCCACCCACCUGCGCAGGAGGGAGGAGCAGGGGACACCCUUGGGAGGGCGUUUCCUUUAAAAACAUCAGACCACGAACCAGGGCCCAAUGGGGCGGCCCAGAGGCAGUGGAAGGGAAAGCGGAGCUCGAUCUGGGUUUCGGCCCCAGCAAGUCCCCUCCCCCGGUUGACCCAAAUUUCCCACUAUAAAGUGAAGGCGGGAGCUGGACUCCAGCUCGCGGAGGAAAUCCGGCCGCCGCGCAGCGGGCUGAGGUGGAAGGUGUCAUCGGUCAUCCUCGUCAUCUUGAUAUUCACCUGGGACCCUUGUGGGAACCUCUUUCCCUAGUUUGCCACCAGCUCUGCCUCUCCCUCACCCACCUGUGACCCAAGCACAUUCUCGUGACCUCUCUGAGCCUCAGUUUCCUUAUCUGUCAAGUCGAGAUCACAGCACUGACCUCCAGGGCUCACUGGGAAGCGGGGAUGAGGUGGUGCGCAUUGCAGUGACUGGCACCGGCUGUGAGCUCAGAACACGGCGGCUGGAGCUAUCCGCCAGCAACUCUUAAGCCAAAGCCCUCACCGGGCUGCCUGCCAGCUGUCAGAGACCAAGCUCCAGCCAAAGACUCCACCUCGGGCCGGCCUCGCCACUGUCCCUCCUUGAAGGCAUGAUUGGUCUCUUCUCCCCUAUGAUAAAUUGAGCCACGCAGAGGAGAGGUAACUCCCUCCUGUCCUCAGAGUGUCCCGAAGACCCUCCUUUGCCUGGUGAGUGACAUACUAGAGCCCGCACGGUGACAGCUCAGGUAUGUGGCACCCCUCGGACCCACCCCUCCCUGGGUGGAGUGGCCCAGCUGUGGUGGGCACUUCCUCACCCAGCCGUGGGCACAGGCCAGACCCUGAGCCCAGCGGCCCUGUAAUUUCAGAUGUAGCUGGGCAUGUGUGUGUUAUUGGGUGAUACUUAAAUCCUAACCUUUUCAAAAGCAAACCCAAGUAAGCACAUAUUGGAGAACCAUAAUUCCAAGCUUGGAGGCCUCCCUCAAGGCGAUGGGGAGUGUGGCAUCGUGACCGCUAACCCGGUCCCUCCGCGGCCUUGGGUUUAAAAGCGUCUGUGUCCAGCCGGGAGGUGAACUCCUGACAGCAACGCCCGUCCAGCCCACACCUCUGCCUGGCAGUGUGCAGCAGGACCCCUGAAGCCCAAGUCGAGAGCAGCGCCUGGUCUCCACCCGAGACUGGGUGGCGGAGAAGCGCUGCCUCUGACCUCAGUGAGCAUGGAGAGGCGGUGACAGGUUUGGACAGUAGAGAUUUCAGCAAUUUCUGGAAGGUCUGAACAGGACCUGCCUCGGAAGCAGAAUCGGAUUCCGCUGACUGGGACAACGUCACGUGACAGCGAGUCCAGCGCCCGGGGCCUGGGAGAACAAAGGCGGCUGACCCGUCACAGGAGCUGCACGGCAAUGCAUCUGAGACCAUGCGGUGUCACCUUCACAGAAGUGCUCUGGCACAGAGACUCCAGCCUUGCCGGCCUCUCGCCUCCCAAGCACAGAAGCCUCCAGAACGCUGCUUCAAGGACAAGCCCAGGAGACCUGCCAUGCUCAUGCGUGUCUUUGGAAACAGGUUCUCUAAAUUUUGCUUGUGGUUUGUUAAAAAAAAAAAAAAAAUCAGAAGUGUAAUCAAAGACUUCAACAAACGAAGCACCAAAACACUUCAGCUUUGAAAUGUAGAAUUGCAAUGACUGGAAACACGGCUCGCAAAGCAAAAGACAUUAAAAUUCAGUCAUCCCUACAGAAGCCGGACAGGAAUUGAUCACAUCCACUAGUGAAGGCUCAGAAAGUGACAAGAUUUCAUUUGGAAAUCGUACCUGUGUCCUUGGGAACAUCCUGAACCUUGGGAAGCAUCAGCUCAUGGAGUUCCUAUUAACUGGAUAAAUUUAUAUUCUAGAUUGAAAUGGAAUGGAAUUAAGUAGGCCCACGGUUUUGCAGCACGUACAUUUGAAGAAUCAUUAAAAAUCAUCAUAGAAACAAUUUAUUUGACGAGAUUUGUCUUGUACAAAUAUUUGUUAAAUAUUUGUACUCCGAACGGAGGCCAAAAGACAGCACCUGUGGGAAACUUUAGGCUGAAAUAUUUACACAUUUCAACGCAAAAUGUCAGAACUGAGAAUCUGCCGUGUGCUCACAAGGUACCCCAACCCUGCAGAGAGAGACAAUUUUCUUGAUCCAAAUGUCAUCAUCUACCCAGAAGUGUCCAUGGACAGCACAGAUUCACAUUCUGGGGCCGUUAAAAUGUGAAUGUGAGCUAUCAAUGGACACUUCUGGGUAGAUCAUGACCUUUGGAUUAAUUAAGAUUGAUCCAGGCCCGGCGCAGUGGCUCAUGCCUGUAAUCCCAACACUUUGGGAGGCCGAGGUGGGCAUAUCACUAGAGGUCGGGAGUUCGAGUCCAGCCUGGCCAAUUUGGUAAAAACUGUCUCUACUGAAAAUACAAAAAUUAGCUGGGCACGGUGGCAGGUGCCUUUAAUCCCAGCUGCUUGGGAGGCUGAGGCAUGAGAAUCGCUUGAACCCAGGAGGAAGAGGUUGCCGUGAGCCAAGAUUGCGCCACUGCACUCUAGCCUGGGUGACAGAGUGAGACUCCAUCUCAAAACAAACAAACAAACAAACAACCCAAAAAAUUAGC
This 2676-nucleotide long non-coding RNA is filed under the name Homo sapiens (human). RNAcentral describes it as "HSALNT0278824". The record is from RNAcentral. Lineage: Eukaryota; Metazoa; Chordata; Mammalia; Primates; Hominidae.